AGCAGCCGCGGUAAUUCCAGCUCCAAUAGCGUAUAUUAAAGUUGUUGCAGUUAAAAAGCUCGUAGUUGAAUUUCGGGAUCAAAUUGUUGGUCGUGCCUCGGUACGCACUGGUAUUAUUGGUUCCUACCUUCUGAGGAACCGCGAUGUCAUUAAUUUGGUGUCGUGGGGAAUCAGGACUGUUACUUUGAAAAAAUUAGAGUGUUUAAAGCAGGCUUACGCUUGAAUACAUUAGCAUGGAAUAAUGAAAUAGGACGUUUGAUUCUAUUUUGUUGGUUUCUAGGAUUGACGUAAUGAUUAAUAGGGAUAGUUGGGGGCAUUAGUAUUCAAUUGUCAGAGGUGAAAUUCUUGGAUUUAUUGAAGACUAACUACUGCGAAAGCAUUUGCCAAGGAUGUUUUCAUUAAUCAAGAACGAAAGUUAGGGGAUCGAAGACGAUCAGAUACCGUCGUAGU
Molecule: ribosomal RNA, 450 nt
Filed under: uncultured Glomeromycotina
Lineage: Eukaryota; Fungi; Glomeromycota
Description: SSU rRNA
Rfam family: Eukaryotic small subunit ribosomal RNA
Source: RNAcentral